RNAcentral lists this small nuclear RNA (69 nucleotides) under Urocitellus parryii (Arctic ground squirrel). The record is from RNAcentral. Lineage: Eukaryota; Metazoa; Chordata; Mammalia; Rodentia; Sciuridae.
CCCCAAUGAAGAUUAGCAUGGCUCCUGCACAWGAAUGAUGUGCAAAUUUAUGAAGAGUUCCAUAUUAUU